UACGUAGGAUGCAAGCGUUGUCCGGAAUUAUUGGGCGUAAAGAGCGCGCAGGCGGUAUGACAAGUCAGAUGUGAAAGAGGCCGGCUUAACCGGCAAGGGUCAUUUGAAACUGUCAGACUAGAGUGCAGCAGAGGAUAGUGGAAUUCCCGGUGUAGUGGUGAAAUGCGUAGAUAUUGGGAGGAACACCAGUGGCGUAAGCGGCUAACUAGACGAGUACUGACGCUCAGGCACGAAAGCGUGGGGAUCAAACAGGA
Molecule: ribosomal RNA, 254 nt
Filed under: uncultured bacterium
Lineage: Bacteria
Description: partial 16S ribosomal RNA
Rfam family: Bacterial small subunit ribosomal RNA
Source: RNAcentral